Rhinichthys klamathensis goyatoka is the source of this 794-nucleotide long non-coding RNA. RefSeq lists it as uncharacterized. NCBI's taxonomy places the organism in Eukaryota, Metazoa, Chordata, Actinopteri, Cypriniformes, Leuciscidae. The record is from RefSeq and is a predicted model, not a curated record. The transcript has 3 exons.
GACAACAGUAUCAUCCGACCAUAACCUGUAAAGGCUUGUGUUUCAAGCCAAAUUGCUGUGUAGGAAACGGAAUACAGUGGAAACUGUAGCCUCCGUUACAUUCUAUCUACACCAUGGUAUGACUUCUGAUAAAAGCCAGCGUCUAUGUGGUACGCAAGAUCAGGGCUUCCCUUAAAGAGGGAGAGCAAACAGAACAACCUGUGCUCACACCAUGUAGCCUGGCUAAAGGGAAAAAGAAGAGCAAUGCGUCAGACAGUGCAUUAAUGGCAGCUCCAGAGUCUGAGGGUGCUGUUGGGUCAUCUGCACCUACAGGGACAGCUAUACAGACAUGUGGUUCCUGAGGUUAAAGGUCACGCAGAGGCAAAUCUGGAAAAAACUGCCUCGCUGGACACCAGCAUAUGUUGUGUUUUGCAUGCUGGUAUUCCAACAAUGGCAUCUAAGCCGGUCUUUUCAACAGAGACUUUACAGAAGCAGAAGGCAGAUUGUGACAAAGAUCUGAUAUCAGACCAGUUUUGCUCUACGUGACCUUUAUUCUCAGUUGCCAACACUGGCUCUGUUUCCUAGCUCUUUCUCUUUUUCUUUUCCCCUUCAGCUGUAGUUUAUGAAGGUCUGUUCAUCAACCUCUGCCUCAGGGGCGGUUCAGAUCUGAUGUUUACCUGCAGCUUUUGUAUUUAUACUCACUAACAAACUGAAUGAACACGUAUCACUGUAACUAAAAUUAACUUUGAGGAUAUUUAUAAGAUAAUUUCAUGUUUGUUAUGAUAAAAACAACUAAUACAAUUGUGAAACUCCAA